UACGUAGGGGGGCAAGCGUUUGUCCGGAAUCAUUGGGCGUAAAGAGCGUGUAGGCGGCCAGAUAAGUCCGCUGUGAAAUCUCGAGGCUCAACUUCGAGCUGUCGGUGGAAACUGUCGGGCUAGAGUCCGGAAGAGGCGAGUGGAAUUCCCGGUGUAGCGGUGAAAUGCGCAGAUAUCGGGAGGAACACCAAUGGCGAAGGCAGCUCGCUGGGACGGUACUGACGCUGAGACGCGAAAGCGUGGGGAGCAAACAGG
This 255-nucleotide ribosomal RNA is filed under the name uncultured bacterium. RNAcentral's name for it is "partial 16S ribosomal RNA". It matches the Rfam family "Bacterial small subunit ribosomal RNA", at positions 524 to 776 of the family's 1533-position model. The record is from RNAcentral.